RNAcentral lists this ribosomal RNA (395 nucleotides) under uncultured bacterium. RNAcentral's name for it is "partial 16S ribosomal RNA". It matches the Rfam family "Bacterial small subunit ribosomal RNA", at positions 338 to 731 of the family's 1533-position model. The record is from RNAcentral.
CCUACGGGAGACAGCAGUGAGGAAUAUUGGUCAAUGGACGCAAGUCUGAACCAGCCAUGCCGCGUGAGGGAAGACGGCUCUAUGAGUUGUAAACCGCUUUUGUAGGGGAGCAAACGCCGACACGUGUACCUGUCUGAGAGUACCGUACGAAAAAGCAUCGGCUAACUCCGUGCCAGCAGCCGCGGUAAUACGGAGGAUUCGAGCGUUAUCCGGAUUUAUUGGGUUUAAAGGGUGCGCAGGCGGUCGAUAAAGUCAGCGGUAAAAUCCCGAGGCUCAACCUCGGCGUGCCGUUGAAACUGGUCGGCUUGAGUGUGGGAGAGGUAGGCGGAAUGCGUGGUGUAGCGGUGAAAUGCAUAGAGAUCACGCAGAACACCGAUUGCGAAGGCAGCAUACCG